RNAcentral lists this ribosomal RNA (529 nucleotides) under uncultured bacterium. RNAcentral's name for it is "partial 16S ribosomal RNA". It matches the Rfam family "Bacterial small subunit ribosomal RNA", at positions 355 to 900 of the family's 1533-position model. The record is from RNAcentral.
UGGGGAAUAUUGCACAAUGGGCGAAAGCCUGGUGCAGCAACGCCGCGCGAGUGAUGAAGGUCUUCGGAUUGUAAAGCUCUGUCUUUUGGGACGAUAAUGACGGUACCAAAGGAGGAAGCCACGGCUAACUACGUGCCAGCAGCCGCGGCAAUACGUAGGUGGCGAGCGUUGUCCGGAUUUACUGGGCGUAAAGGGUGCGUAGGCGGAUGUUUAAGUGAGAUGUGAAAUACCCGGGCUUAACUUGGGUGCUGCAUUUCAAACUGGAUAUCUAGAGUGCAGGAGAGGAGAAUGGAAUUCCUAGUGUAGCGGUGAAAUGCGUAGAGAUUAGGAAGAACACCAGUGGCGAAGGCGAUUCUCUGGACUGUAACUGACGCUGAGGCACGAAAGCGUGGGUAGCAAACAGGAUUAGAUACCCUGGUAGUCCACGCCGUAAACGAUGAGUACUAGGUGUAGGAGGUAUCGACCCCUUCUGUGCCGCAGUAAACACAUUAAGUACUCCGCCUGGGAAGUACGAUCGCAAGAUUAAAAC